Molecule: long non-coding RNA, 918 nt
Organism: Anopheles stephensi (Asian malaria mosquito)
Lineage: Eukaryota; Metazoa; Arthropoda; Insecta; Diptera; Culicidae
Exons: 2
Source: RefSeq, a predicted model, not a curated record
GCUUUUGGCGAGCUCGACCCGAACGAGAAGCUCGUCCGAAAGCAUCGCGCCGCCAGAAGAUAUGCUUUUCCUUUUCUACACACACGUGCGAGAACGGAGCAGCGGUCUCUCGCGCGUGUGAGAGAGCGAGCGAGAGUGUAAGCGAAAGGGGAGUUUUGAGCAGCGCGCACAAACCGAAGAAAGGGAAAUGUAUCCCGGGAAACAGGAUCGAGCGGAGCACGUUCGCGAUGCGCUGGGGUGUUUGAGAGUGUAUUCAUUUGUUUUGACGCGUACAGGUGUGUAUGUGGAGAACAAAAAGCAAACGGACCCACCACCACACUCAAUGGACAUGUGUUGCUUCAUCUCUGACGGGCGCCUGUUGCUAAUUGUACCUUGUGUAUCUGUCUUCUUGUUUGCUUCAUUCGUUUUUCUUUUGUGUUGCCCUUUUGCUUGCAUCUCACUCCUCCGUGCAAUUGUGUUCGAGUGUGUAUGUGUGGCAGGAGGAAGGAGCAGCAAAGUGGCGGGGAGUGGGGGAGGCAUCUUCUAGGAAGCAGUGCAGCAGAUUUUCCACCCACCGACAGCCCUUCUUCGACGAACGCUUUCUUCGUAUAGUGCAUGCAUCUGACAUCCUAUGACACAGCCUGUUGGAGAACGAUUGCAACCCGCGUUCCGCUGUACCUUCGUCUUGAGACUGAAACCAGUACAGAAUACGCUUUGGACCUGGCCCGGGGAAGUGAGAAGAGUCAUACAGGCCAACGGAAAGUAUCGUCGUGUUCCAGCUGCUGCGGGCCGGAUAUUCUGUACACUUUUAAACAGAGAUCUCUGUGUUGUCACUAUCUUAACCCUUACGUUUCUAGCUGCCAACGGUAGCCCGGAAGCCACACUAAAUGUUGCAGUUGAGUGAAUUUGUUUGAAAAAAUAUACUUAAAAACAUGUAAA